This 417-nucleotide ribosomal RNA is filed under the name uncultured Glomeromycotina. Its description in RNAcentral is "SSU rRNA". It matches the Rfam family "Eukaryotic small subunit ribosomal RNA", at positions 677 to 1092 of the family's 1831-position model. Lineage: Eukaryota; Fungi; Glomeromycota. The record is from RNAcentral.
GUACUGGCAUUGUUGGUUUCUCCCUUCUGACGAACCAUGAUGUCAUUUAUUUGGUGUUGUGGGGAAUCAGGACUGUUACUUUGAAAAAAUUAGAGUGUUUAAAGCAGGCUCACGCUUGAAUACAUUAGCAUGGAAUAAUGAAAUAGGACGUUUGAUUCUAUUUUGUUGGUUUCUAGGAUCGACGUAAUGAUUAAUAGGGAUAGUUGGGGGCAUUAGUAUUCAAUUGUCAGAGGUGAAAUUCUUGGAUUUAUUGAAGACUAACUACUGCGAAAGCAUUUGCCAAGGAUGUUUUCAUUAAUCAAGAACGAAAGUUAGGGGAUCGAAGACGAUCAGAUACCGUCGUAGUCUUAACCAUAAACUAUGCCGACUAGGGAUCGGAUGAUGCUAAUUUUUUAAUGACUCAUUCGGCGCCUUACG